Molecule: long non-coding RNA, 527 nt
Organism: Oncorhynchus masou masou (cherry salmon)
Lineage: Eukaryota; Metazoa; Chordata; Actinopteri; Salmoniformes; Salmonidae
Exons: 3
Source: RefSeq, a predicted model, not a curated record
GUUCAGUUCUACCAGCAACAUUCAUUGAAGGAGUAUUUUAAGGAUGUGGACACCACCCUCCAGACCCCUUCAACCAGCCUGAACAGAGUGAUACACCCUUCAACACACCCUCCCCAGGUGGCAGUAUGCGUUCGUUCGGCACAGCUAGGGCCAGGUACGACUUCUCAGCCAGAGACCGUACAGAGCUGUCUCUGAGAGAAGGAGACACAGUCAAGGUCCUGUCUAAGAAAGCUCACAAUGGAUGGUGGAAAGGAGAGGUCUAUGGACGGGUUGGUCUGUUCCCAGCUAACUAUGUAGAAGAGGAUUACUCUGAAUACUGCUGAUGUCGCCUCACUGUCACACCUUCACCUGUGUGUGAAAGAGACAGUGUGUCCCAAUUCAACCCCUACCCCUUCCCUUGGCCCUAACCAGUGCAGUCAAAAAUGUGAUUUUACUGUUUUGUUUUUUUCAACAAUAUCUCCACACUAUGAGGUUGAAAUAACACUCUGAAAUUGUAUAAAAUUACGAUAAUGUCCUUUUGAAAACAA